Molecule: ribosomal RNA, 117 nt
Filed under: Candidatus Omnitrophota bacterium
Lineage: Bacteria; Pseudomonadati; Candidatus Omnitrophota
Source: RNAcentral
UGGAGUACCUUUACCGGCGGGGCCACACCCGUUCCCAUUCCGAAUACGGUAGUUAAGCCCGUCAAGGCCGAUGGUACUAUAGUAGUAAUGCUACGGGAGAGUAGGACGGUGCUCCAU